This is a long non-coding RNA of Salvia miltiorrhiza (redroot sage), 3252 nucleotides long. RefSeq lists it as uncharacterized. The record is from RefSeq and is a predicted model, not a curated record. Lineage: Eukaryota; Viridiplantae; Streptophyta; Magnoliopsida; Lamiales; Lamiaceae. The transcript has 2 exons.
GAAAUAUUCCUUAAAAAGGAAAAAGGCAUCGUUAGGGCUUGGCUAAAACAUUAUCAGAGUUUGCAACGGAAGGCGUAACUGAAAUAAUCAGUGUUUACAGCGGAAUGCAUAAUUGAGAUACAUGUAUGAAGACAUGUAUCCUUUCUGAGCCUACUUUAAGUUCGACAAAAACUCCACUCAGCAACACUUCAUCGCCCAUCACAACUCAACCUGCACAAACAUAAACAUACGAAGGGCUGAGUACAAGAGUACUCAGUGGGCAGUGCCAAGCAUAUAACAUAAUAUCAACAACAAAACACAACUUCGCAUAAGAGGCAUAAGUUUCUUUCAAAUCCUUUGCUCAUUAAACAUUUCCAUAUUCAUAAACAGCAUGAGCGCAUUCUUCAUCAUUAACAAUCAUCAACACGCAUCGUGUCGUGGAGAAGGCCUUCCCCAACGAACACGGGCAUCGCACCGUGAAGGGGAGCCUCCCUCAGCGGUCACGGCAUCGUACUAUUGAGGGAGGCCUCCCCCAAUAGACGCUGUAACACUGGCAUACUGGCAUACUGGCAUCGCGCCGCGAGAGAGGCCUCUCUCAGCGGACACAGGCAUCGCGCCGUGAGGAAGGCCCUCCUCAACGGACACGGCAUCGUACUGUUGAGGGAGGCCUCCCCCAACAGACGCAAGCAUCGUACAUAAGUAUAAACUUAUCAGCGUAAAGCAUUCAAGCGUAAAUAAUAUAAACAGCAUAGCGUAAAUCAUUUAACGUGCAGCAUAAUAAAGCUUAACUCAUUUAAGCGUAAUAAAGCAUACCAUACUUGAAGAUCCAAUUUGCAUUUUAAAGCAUAACACUUGCAUAGCAUUUUAUCUACGCGUAAGAAAUUGCCCACCUCAAUUGUUCUUAAAGCUGGCGUGGAGUCGUUUCUUCUUCGGCUUCACUUUCUGUCGCCCGGACCUUCAUUGAUGAAGAGUCGAUAAGUUCGUGAAGUAAUUGUCAUAAGACAAAGUCUAAUUCUACGUGCCUAGGGUAUCUUUUAGUGUUUUAGGGUUCUAGCAUCCAUAAUUCGUUACAUUAAAGACAGUCAAAAAUCAAUCAUACCUCGUCUAAUCUCAUUCAAACACAUAGGCAACACAAACACAUAAGGCACAUAAGAAUCACAAUCAAACAUCAUCAAAACAUGCUCUGUUUUUACACUGACUCAACUUCAAAAUUUAAUCUGUUCUGACUCCGACAUCUCCUGGACUCGAGACUCAUACCGAAAGAAAGAUCUUCGAAUCUAGUUUCAUAUAAAAAAAAGUAGAGUCGAAAACUCCAAGUGGUUUGAGAGAUAUGACGUUUUUACCACGAUCUACCAUGUUCGGCAGUUUUGAACAAUCGAAAACUUGGAUUUUUGAAAAAUAGUAAACGUUGUCAAACUGGGCUCGACUUUGGUGGAUAUCUAUCUAACACAAUAAGGUUAAUACCAUAAAACUUUGGAAAGCUAGAUCACACAUGAAGCUACUGAAAUAAAUGACUCUUUCAUCUGUUCUCUGAAAUUCUCGGUAGUAAUGUGCAGUUUAGGUUUUGCAUUUUAAAGAGGUAUCAAACGAAGUUGGAAUGGCCUGAAAUUUUACCAGGGUACUCAAGACUCAUGUAGGGACUUGCUAUAAAAUUUUCAAAGCUAUUAGACAUCGACAAACCGUCGAUCACAGUAGGUCAGUAGGCCUACGAAAUUCAUAUUUAUAAGUCCUUAAAAAAAAUUAUUUAUAUAAAUCAAGAAAUAAGAGUUUAAUCCCAAAAAUAUUCAUUAAAAGUCCAUCAUAAUUUAAAUAAAGAACGGACCUCAUUUAAAAUAAAUAGUCCCAAACUUGUUACGCACAUAUACUAAAUCUUUCAUGAAACAUCCUUUAAAAUAAACUUUGAUACAUAGAAAAUAAUUCAACAACUUGAGCUCUUAAGGGGUUGUUUUGCAACAGACACCAAAUCUGCCUCGGAUCUCCAAAUGAGGCUCCAAAAGACAUUCUGGAAACUAGACAUUUCAAGGAUCAUUCUCCAAUUUGAAUCGAAUGAAAAACAAUUCAAACGAGCAAGAUAUGCCCUCUCAAAGAUGGGUAUUUAACAAGCAAAAAUCUGAAAAUUUCAGAUUUCCAGAUUACAACCAAGUCAGUGGGCUUUCUUUAAAAAUUCAUAUCUCCCUUUACAAAACUCCACUGGGAACCCCAAGGGUCAAUCUGGAAACUAGGGAGAGAUCAUAACACUCUCCAGUUGGAUUUACUCUAAGAACAUUCAUGGUUUAGAAGAUAUGACUGUCUAAAGUUCAGUGCACAAAAAGCGUUCAAGUUUGGCAGAUUCAUAACAUAAAUCAGAAAACCAACUUUAGGCUUCACCAAAAAUUCUAAAACUAAGCAAGUAAGUUCCCAACAUGUCAUUGAAUAUUCAGUAGAAAGCUAGGCUUGAGAAUCAAAGAUUUAAGUCGGGCUUUGCCACCUCAAAGUCGUAGGUUUGUAAAAUCUACUGGAUGGUACAUGGAAUAAGAACUAGAUUUCAAGAAUUUAUACCGGUUGUUUCCCUUAUUCAAAAAUGGUGAGGCCGAUGUCAAAAGAAAGAUACGGGAGUCUAGAGUGACAUAUUCAAGUUUCAAAGGUUUUCACCGAUUGAAACUUUACUUAUGGCCUCCCAAAGAUUGUUUACCAAAAAUGUAUUCCAGAUGGGCAGUGAUGUUUACAAAUUCAUAAAUAAAUCAUAAGAGCUUCAAACCUUCUGAAAUUUUGCCAAAGUAUAGAAAACAUAUGAAAGAUGAUACACAAUUAAUUUGGGAAUUUUUGGGAACCUUUUGGAUGGCUGGAAUCGCCUUGCAAAACACUGCCGGAGCAGUGUGCUUAUGGCAGAACUCGUGGCUGCUCUUCGGUUCCUUAGUGAAGAAUGAAGAUGAUGAAAAGAUUGUUGCCUGUAUAAUGGAAUGUUAGAUGCAUUCUUGCGUGUGGUGGGGAAGGGAGUAGGUGGAAAGUUUGGUGUAGUGGAAUUAGUGGAGUGGAAAGGGUGGUGAGAAAAAAUGUAGUGGAAGAAAGCAAAAGGUGGUGGAGAUAGUUGGUGGAGUGGAGAAGUGGAGAUUAUGCGUGUAUAGUGUAGGAGACAUUAGGGAGUGGAAAAAAAUAAUGAUGAUUGUAUGCUUACAUAUAUGUCUAGCAUAUUCAUGUAUCUACUUCAUAGCAUUGAUAGGUGAAACUGUAAUUGGUUAUAAGAGUUUGUAAAGUAUGAGAAUGAGAUUGAUGAAUAAAUGAAUUAUAUCCUCA